AGUUCGUGUUACAGAGGUACUGUGAAUGGUUAUACCUUCUCCAAGAUGAUGAACUUUCAGAUUUUCGCCUUAAUCGUGCUCGGGCUAUUUGUUAGCUGGCCUGGGACAACCAUUGUUGUGACUGAGGCAGAAGACUCUGAAAAUACAAAAUUUCUUGCCAGAGUGGAGAGCUGCCGUGGAUGAAGGUUGAACUCGCUCCCUGCGGUGAAGGCUUUCAUCUUUGAAGACCUUCCCUAUUACCAUGAAGUAGAUUUAAGGUUUAUGGGGGGUGCCAAUCCAGACCUACUCAUCCUGGAUUCAGAAGGAAACAUUGACCAGCGAAUUGACCUCUCCGAGAUGAACAGAGGUCAGAUAAAUGAUUUGAUGGUCGAGAACGGCUUUGCGAGGUCAGAGACGGAGAAGGAAAAUAGAGAAGAACUGUAAAACGACGAUGUUGUACUGCAAUUUAAAAUGCAAUAACCCCCUCUACGUCCAAUAAUUCAUGUUGCUUUCUUUCUCUCUCUCUCUC
Strongylocentrotus purpuratus (purple sea urchin) is the source of this 508-nucleotide long non-coding RNA. RefSeq annotates it as selenoprotein M. NCBI's taxonomy places the organism in Eukaryota, Metazoa, Echinodermata, Echinoidea, Camarodonta, Strongylocentrotidae. The record is from RefSeq and is a predicted model, not a curated record. The transcript has 4 exons.